GACGUAGGGGGCGAGCGUUGUCCGGAUUUAUUGGGCGUAAAGCGCUCGCAGGUGGUUCGUCGCGUCGUGCGUGAAAGACCCCGGCUCAACUGGGGAGUGUCGUGCGAUACGGGCGGACUGGAGGCCAGUAGGGGGAUGCGGAAUUCCGGGUGUAGUGGUGGAAUGCGUAGAGAUCCGGAGGAACACCAGCGGCGAAGGCGGCAUCCUGGACUGGUCCUGACACUCAGGAGCGAAAGCGUGGGGAGCGAUCCGG
RNAcentral lists this ribosomal RNA (253 nucleotides) under uncultured bacterium. Its description in RNAcentral is "partial 16S ribosomal RNA". It matches the Rfam family "Bacterial small subunit ribosomal RNA", at positions 524 to 776 of the family's 1533-position model. The record is from RNAcentral.